GACGAACGCUGGCGGCGUGCCUAACACAUGCAAGUCGAACGGGGCAAUUCCUUCGGGGAUUGCUUAGUGGCGAACGGGUGAGUAACGCGUGAGAAACCUGCCUUUCAGUGGGGGACAACAGUUGGAAACGACUGCUAAUACCGCAUAAUGUUAUUUGAGGGCAUCCUCGAAUAACCAAAGCUUUAUGUGCUGAAAGAUGGUCUCGCGUCUGAUUAGCUAGAUGGCGGGGUAACGGCCCACCAUGGCGACGAUCAGUAGCCGGUCUGAGAGGAUGAACGGCCACAUUGGGACUGAGAUACGGCCCAGACUCCUACGGGAGGCAGCAGUGGGAAUAUGGGCAAUGGGCGCAAGCCUGACCCAGCAACGCCGCGUG
Molecule: ribosomal RNA, 373 nt
Filed under: uncultured bacterium
Lineage: Bacteria
Description: bacterial SSU rRNA
Rfam family: Bacterial small subunit ribosomal RNA
Source: RNAcentral